GAGUUUGAUCGUGGCUCAGAUUGAACGCUGGCGGCAGGCCUAACACAUGCAAGUCGAGCGGAUGACGGGAGCUUGCUCCUUGAUUCAGCGGCGGACGGGUGAGUAAUGCCUAGGAAUCUGCCUGGGUAGUGGGGGACAACGUCUCGAAAGGAACGCUAAUACCGCAUACGUCCUACGGGAGAAAGCAGGGGACCUUCGGGCCUUGCGCUAUCAGAUGAGCCUAGGUCGGAUUAGCUAGUUGGUGGGUAAUGGCUCACCAAGGCGACGAUCCGUAACUGGUCUGAGAGGACUGAUCAGUCACACUGGGAACUGAGACACGGUCCAGACUCCUACGGGAGGCAGCAGUGGGGAAUAUUGGACAAUGGGCGAAAGCCUGAUCCAGCCAUGCCGCGUGUGUAGAAGAAGGUCUUCGGAUU
RNAcentral lists this ribosomal RNA (416 nucleotides) under bacterium enrichment culture clone ALO1_GLFRUDD03G922T. Its description in RNAcentral is "bacterial SSU rRNA". It matches the Rfam family "Bacterial small subunit ribosomal RNA", at positions 9 to 424 of the family's 1533-position model. The record is from RNAcentral.